Molecule: ribosomal RNA, 254 nt
Filed under: uncultured bacterium
Lineage: Bacteria
Description: partial 16S ribosomal RNA
Rfam family: Bacterial small subunit ribosomal RNA
Source: RNAcentral
CAAACCAAAGCUGGCGACCGGCGCACGGGUGAGUAACACGUAUCCAACCUGCCUCAUACUCGGGGAUAGCCUUUCGAAAGAAAGAUUAAUAUCCGAUAGCAUAUAUUUCCCGCAUGGGUUUUAUAUUAAAGAAAUUCGGUAUGAGAUGGGGAUGCGUUCCAUUAGUUUGUUGGGGGGUAACGGCCCACCAAGAUUACGAUGGAUAGGGGUUCUGAGAGGAAGGUCCCCCACAUUGGAACUGAGACACGGUCCAA